Long non-coding RNA from Anguilla rostrata (American eel), 3352 nucleotides. RefSeq lists it as uncharacterized. The transcript has 3 exons. The record is from RefSeq and is a predicted model, not a curated record. NCBI's taxonomy places the organism in Eukaryota, Metazoa, Chordata, Actinopteri, Anguilliformes, Anguillidae.
UUGGACAGGAUACAAUUACAUCCGCUUCUAAAGAAGAGCAUGUUCUGGAUGGCAGCCGAGUUACUCUGACAUGCAACUACUCAGCUGGUAGUGUAAACAGUCUACACUGGUAUCGCCAACACUCUGGAUCCAAACCAGAAUUCCUCAUCCUCACCUAUUCUGAACAAAAGACAGACAAGCGGUUCACUGUUAAACAUGAUAAAAAGAACAGCCGUGUGCAUCUGGAGAUCUCCUCUGCUGAAGUGACAGACUCUGCUCUGUACUACUGUGCCCUGCAGCCCACAGUGACAGGAAAUCCAUAAACUCUGUACAUAAACCUGACACUGCCUGAGAUAGCAACCCAUCAGUUCUUUUUCUUGCAAAUUGUUAUAUGCUUCCAUAAAUAAUCAUGCCAUUAAAUAAAAAUAAAUAAUAAUAAAUCAAUCAGCUGACUACUUGAGAGGAGCAGCUGGUGAACACACAUUUAUAUUGUUUUCCACAGAUGACAGUUUUCAGGAUGAAAUAACAACAACAACUAAAGAAGUGCAUGUUUUGGAGGGAAACAUUGUUACACUUUCACACACUUACAAAACUGCUGCAAACUAUCUGCACUGAUAUCGCCAAUACUCCCAAUCAAAACCUAAAGACCUCAUCCUGGCCGUUGGGAACUAUCAAUAAGAAAGAGAAAUAAGGGCAGUUUGUUAUAAAAGAUAAAUGUAAAUGGUGUAGUACAAAGUACAAGCUUUAACCAUUCUGUCUGGCUCUUUAAAAUGAAACAUUUCCAUCAAUAAUAAUGUGUUCAGAAUUAAUUUCACUGAGAAGAUUUUCCCCAUCUGGUCUCUGUGACAUUAACAUUCAGAUGAAUGUGUUUAAUUUCAGAAUUUAGUUUUUGUUAGUUCAGUUUAGUUCAUUGUUGAUGUGGGCGAAUGCACUACUCUCAAAAACUAGAAUCUCCUAUACAAAAAACAUUCUAUGGCAUCCGGCCAUAGAAUCAUUCAAUGUACUUUCAAUUUAAGGGCACAGAGGCAGGCAUAUGUAUUACAGCAUAAUCAAUAAACCCAAAUAAAGUAGUGACUUUUUCCAUUAUAUAAUUUUAAUUAUGAAAUAUAUAUUCAGUUUUUAAGCCACCAUAUUUUAUUUAAUGUAUGUAAUGCAGCUCACUGCUUUGACAAGAUUAUUUUAUGCAACAAAUAAAAAUAGCCUUUCUCUAAACCAUUGAGGAUGUGAUUCUCAGUUGUGUUUUGUGUCCAGGGGAGGGGCUAACUACUCAGUGAGUGGGAGGAUUUUCAUGUUAACUAUGCAGAGGGAGUCAGAGUGGAGGACUUCAUCUGUUCUAGCUGUUCUUAAAGUCAGUGUUUCUUUUUAACAACUAUCAUGAUGUUACACUGUUUAUUACUUCUGUUUUCAGCAAUGGUGGAUGACAGUUUUCAGGAUGAAAUAAAAGCAGCUAAAGAAGUGCAUGUUUUGGAGAGAAACAGUGUUUCACUGUCAUGCACUUACACAGCUGCUGUAAACUAUGUGUACUGGUAUCGCCAAUACCCUCAAUCCGAACUUGAAUUCCUGAUCUCUGUUGUGAGCACAGACAGGACAGAAGGACCGUUUACUGCUAAACAUGAUAAAAAUAGCAAAACAGUGCGUCUGGAGAUCUCCUCUGUUGAAGUGACAGACUCUGCUCUGUACUACUGUGCCCUGGAGCCCACAGUGACAGGAAACCCAUCUUCUCCGUACAAAAACCUCACACUGCCUGAGACAAGGCAGCAACACAAGUACAAUUUUGAGACUUCAUCAUUGUAUGUCAAUUGCAGGUCAAUUAAUUUUAUUUUAAGGCCCACAUAACAAUUUGGUCAGAUCUCUGGAAAAUUUUAGUGAGCUCAAGCCAAAUGUAGUGCAUUAUUUAUAUGUAGCCUUCAGGCUUUAAGUGUCUGUAUCUAGAACUAUAAAUGACUUUGUGCACAAGUGCAUGCGUGUGUGAAGACAUAUGUGCAGAAGUUCUUGCACACCAGUAAAAUAUAAGGAGAAUCACUGGUACAAAAACAAUAUAUCUAUAUUACAUAUGGUGUCAUUGUCAUAUAAUGGGUAAUUCAUGAGAUAGAUUUCUCAACAUUAUAAAUCAAAACCAGGACCUAAAUAUGUGAGACUUCUGAAAAAAACUGUUCUUUUCCCAGAAAAAAACGGACACCAGGACAUAAGCUCAGUUUAAUUUGCAGUCAAAACCUCUAAAUGGCAAAACAACACAAUUUUCUCACUUAUGAUAUUUUGACCCUUUGGAAAUACAUUUAGACUAUGCAGUUUGUCUGUCUUCCUUGCUCUAAGUGCUUAAAAUACAGGGUCACUGUGUGGUUAUUUGAAGUGCAUUGUGAAAUAUGGAUCAUUCAUUAGAUAAGGAGGUUUCUCUGUUUGAAGCCACCAACAAGACCAGCACCACCAAAAAAAAAAAUGGUUUUCUUUUUUAUUCAGCUUUUAUCAGCUACCUACACCUCUCUGGAAAAAAUGGCAUGUCCUUGUUUACUGCAGUGAACUCCGUUAUCCACAAGAUGUCACUGUUUUAUGGAGUACAGUUUUCCCCCAAUGACUCUACUUCUUGUGAUUUCAAGGCUCCAAACUCAGGCAACCCAAGCAACACAGAAAAUAUCAUAAAUAAAAUGGAGCAGCCCAUAACAAAUUGACUAAGCCGAGGCAAAUAUUUUUGCAGCCUACUCAGUCCAAAUUUUCUAUUUAAAUUUAACAUGUGGCCAAGUCUGGUCUUCAGAAGCAACAGAAUGUUGUGAGUUGGGAGAUAUAUGUUAUUUGGCAAACACAUCUACAAAGUUAUCCACCUUUUCUCAACCAGAAAUUAAUUGUAUUCAUAAGUGAUGUGGGGCUGCUAUAUGUUUAAAGGAUUCAACUGGAUUGCAAAAAUAGAUGGAUUUAUUGAAUUGAGCAGCUGGCCAAAUUUUGACAAAGUAAGAUACUUCAAUGUAACAUUGCAGUUUUCUAUUAAAGUAAAAAUAUUGCAGUUAAUUCAAAGUAUUUUAUUUUUUAUAUCAAUAUAUCAGGACAACUUAUUUUCAUUUAGCAGUCUGAUUCUCAGCUGUGUUUUUUUUGUCCAGGGGAGGGGCUAAACAGUCAGCGAUUGGGAGAAGGCUAUGCAGAGGGUUCAGAGAGGAGGACUUGUUCUGUUCUAGCUGUGCUUAAAGUGAGUGUUUAUUUCUAACAGCUGUCAAGAUGUUUCACUGUUUAUUGCUUCUAUUUUCAGCAAUGGUGGGUGACAGCCUUGGACAGGAUACAAUCAUUUCCACAUCUAAAGAUGAGCAUGUUUUGGAUGGCAGCCGUGUUACUCUGUCAUGCAACUACUCAUCUGUUAGUGGAAAGAGUCUACACUGGUAUCGCCAGC